This 114-nucleotide ribosomal RNA is filed under the name Candidatus Peribacteria bacterium RIFOXYA1_FULL_56_14. RNAcentral also lists the same sequence under 6 other names. Lineage: Bacteria; Candidatus Peregrinibacteriota; Candidatus Peribacteria. The record is from RNAcentral.
CCUGGUGUCUCUAGCGGUGGGGCUACACCUGUUCCCAUCCCGAACACAGCAGUUAAGCCCACCAGCGCCGAUGGUAGUACGAUACAAUCGUGCAAGAGUAGGUCGAUGCCAGGA